Molecule: long non-coding RNA, 239 nt
Filed under: Elaeis guineensis (African oil palm)
Lineage: Eukaryota; Viridiplantae; Streptophyta; Magnoliopsida; Arecales; Arecaceae
Description: long non-coding RNA (EGUI_LNC038197)
Source: RNAcentral
UCAAUUUGACUCUGAUUUGAGUGAAUUAGGCAACCAGCUCCUAUUCCAGUGUGAACGCGACUUAAAGAUCAAAGAUCAAGAAGCAACCUUUCCAAUCAAGGGGUCCAGAUUAAAAGAUAAAUAGAACCAAGUGUAAAUAUGACUUAAAAAUCAAGGACUAAGAAGCAAAUCCUUUUGAUCCAAGGGCUAUCAAGGCAUCUCACCACACGAAACCCUAGAAGAGGAGGCGCCACAUUCCA